Non-coding RNA from Bos taurus (domestic cattle), 73 nucleotides. NCBI's taxonomy places the organism in Eukaryota, Metazoa, Chordata, Mammalia, Artiodactyla, Bovidae. The record is from Rfam.
UCCCUGGUAGUCCAGUGAUUACGACUCUGUGCUUCCACCGCAGGGGACACAGGUUCAAUCCCUAGUCAGGGAA